Pelobates cultripes (western spadefoot toad) is the source of this 252-nucleotide non-coding RNA. The record is from the annotation of a GenBank genome assembly. NCBI's taxonomy places the organism in Eukaryota, Metazoa, Chordata, Amphibia, Anura, Pelobatidae.
CUUGAGGGAUUGCUAUGCAACCUUUAUGAUCCUUGAGGAUACCAGAACUUGCAUCAGGUGUAACAGAAUGUAUACUCUAGUAAGCUAAGUCAUCCGAAGAUGAUGCAGCCUGCAUAGAAAGAAUAUCAGUAUCAUCAGUAUGAGUGGCUAUAUGCAGUUAAGACCUGGUCAAAAGAAACAGUACUGUAAUCUGCCCAUAAAGGAAAAGAGGCAGCUGCCCUUUUCGCCACCAAAUCUGCAAAAUCAUUACCA